Molecule: long non-coding RNA, 3538 nt
Organism: Sitodiplosis mosellana (orange wheat blossom midge)
Lineage: Eukaryota; Metazoa; Arthropoda; Insecta; Diptera; Cecidomyiidae
Exons: 3
Source: RefSeq, a predicted model, not a curated record
GGGUAUACGAGGUGUCUCAAAUUUCUACUCGACUACGGAUAUGACAGAACUAUCAAAGACUAUGAAGGACUAACUCCAGCUGACGUAGCGAGAAAAAAUGGACAUAGAAAUAUUGCCAAAUUGAUUGAAACCUAUACAGCGGUUCCACCAACUCCGCCUCCAAAAGAAGUCAAAUCGGGAGACAAACAGGUCUUAGAAAGAGUAAUCCAAUUUUUAUUCGAUAAGAAGAAACCAGAAGAACCAGAUGAAUCAGACGAAAACAACAUGAAUAGAAUGGAUUUAAUUUCUUUUUAAACGAUGCAAAAGAUAAAUACUAAUGAGCGAUAGAGUAUGAAAUUUAUUUAAAAAGGGGACAAUUUUCGUUUCAAUGUGGUCAUUGUACGCGAUACAAAACACCAAUCUACGUUGAAAAUGACUUCCUUCCUUUUCAAUACACAGACAUUUGGCUGCAUCUAAUAUAGAAUACCAAGAGCGAUGUAACAAGUAGUGAAAGAGAGAGAGAAUGGUUUAUGUGAAAUUUUCUGCUUACUCAAAUACACAUCUAAAAUUAAGCUUGAAAUGUAAUUUAGAGGUUUUAUUUUGGGUGGUGUGUGUGCGUGCGGUGGAAAUUUAUUGUAAUGUGAGAGCAAAAUGCGAUAACGUUACGAUAUGUGUAUCAUACACAUAUCGGGUGUGAAGGUACAAGGUUUUUUCCGCCGACACAGAACGAGAAUUCGGUUUCGAACGCAACAAAAUAGGAUUAAAAUUAAAUAUUUUUGGAGGAAUUAUUGCGUCGGAAUUGUUUUGUGUGGUGUUGUUCGUGCCAUCUCUCGUGUAGUGCGUGUGUUGGUAUUUUAAAUUAAAUUCUUUGCAACUGAUUACAAGAGCGGAACCUUUAUCGUAUACUUUGUCGCAAUAUAAUAUUUCGUUAUUAUUAUCGAGCAUUCACAUGUGUAUAGGGAACAUUUCAAAGGCGACUGGUGUAUUCAAGACUUGGUCUGUGUAUUGGUAAUGCAAUUUUCUUUAGCCAAUGAACAAAAGCGUCGCAUUUAGUAAGCUUACUUUCACUCUCCCACUCACUCGUUCAAUUUCUCUCUCUUUCACUGUACCUCUCGCUUUUGCUCUCCCCCUCUCUCUCUCUCUCUCUCUCACACACACACACACACUCUCUGCUACUUGUGACUUAUUCUUUCUGACAAUGAGCCAAAUUAACGUUUGUUUGCCAUUGAAAAUAUUUACGUUUUCAGUUUUGCAUGGAAAACGGACGGCAAAAAUUGAGCGGGAAAAACAUUCUAUUGGACAUUGGAUUAUGAAAAUGGUUUGAGAAUGUGAACAUAAUCUAAAAUUUGGUAAGCAUUUCCAUUUCAUACGGUCGAUUUGCAGUCAAAUGGCCAUGGCUCAAGCGUCUAAAUGUUUGGAUUGAAAGUUGAUUCAAAUGCACAGAAAGGCAAGACAUACAAUAAAAUAAUGAGAUUUUCUCAUGGCAUACAAUUUGUCAUGCGAACAACCAACAUUUUCGAAGGAAGAAGCAAUACAAUAUUUGGCCGGCGGGGAAUCGGACCAAAGCCGCACUGGGAUAGGGAAAAAAGGGUCAAAAGCCUUUUUGCGACACCAACAAAUUUCAUUGAGUUUAAUUACUUCAAUAAAUAAAAUGUUGGAAAUUCGGCUUUAGAAUUUUAAUAGAAUCCAUUUGACUCCUCCAAUGCCAGCGCUCGGUGCACAGCAACAACAACAGAUCAACGAAUGAAAUGAAUUUUGUCAUUUUGAUUGUUGAAAAUGUUUCAGCAAGUUGAUGAAGCGACAAAACAGUUGGAAUUUCUCACAUUCUCGAGACGUUCAUCAUUAUCAUUACUGUGGACUUAUCGAUUUAAGUCUGCCUUCGAGUCGGAUUCACACUAAAACUUUUCGAUAACAUUUUACUUGUUCGUUUGCGAGUAGUUUUAAUGAAAAUAUUCGUCUGUUGUUGAGCUUGAAUGAAAAACUUGCGCUUCAUUUCAUCGUCGACGAUGUCACCGCAACAACAACAACAUUCGCUACUCGCAACAAUGUGCGGUAAAUUGAUAAAUUCUCUCUCCCUCGCGUCACGUUUGAACUAUUACACCGGGGUUUUUUAGGUGAAAAAUUAAACGGAUGCCACGCUGGUUUGCCAAAACUCGAUGUGGCUGCGAUAAAAUCCGAUAUCCACCACAAAAAGAUGCCGUAUAUUAAAAUAAAGCUCGAUAAAAGAAAAAAAAAAACGUACACACAUAGGGAUAGAAAAAUACCGGCACACCCUCCUCAUCGUGAAUUUAUCUGGUAACCAAAAGUUUUCUAAUAAAAUGUCUGUUUUUUCGGCUUUUUUCGGUGAAAGUGAUUAAAUUAAAGAUUACAACACUUGUGUUCGCUCUCGUCAACCAGAGUGAAUUUGAGUUGAUACAGAGAACAUGUACACCAUUCCACACAAUACCGAACACAAUUCAUUGACAAAGAAGCGAAGAACGAUGAAAUGGCUGUGAUGUGAGUGAGUGCUGUGGAUUCUUAUCUUCGGUGCCAUUUUACAGAAUUUCCCGAGAUGAGUGAAUGUGUUUGUGUUUGUGUGUUUUUUUCAUCUUUUCGGUUAAUUACAUGACAAGCUAAUUUGUGCCAUAAACUUGAUGAUUUUCUGAAAGAGUCGCAGCAGCAUCACGUGGUGUAUGUGUGUGCGUCAUUUUUAAAGCGAUAAUUUUUUUUUGAAAAGACUCCAGAGCACAAAAGCGGAGUAUAUACGUGCCAAUGAAAUUCUUGGGUGCCAGUUUGACACGUACAUCAGAUACAAGUUUUUGCAAUGGAGUAGCAACAACAAUAAAAACAACAACAGCAGCAGUGGCAGCAACAGCGGUGGCAUCAUUUGAUGUGCACAAAUAAUAGUAAAAGGAAAAUCACAUAAAGCACAAAGAAUGUGGGAGAGAAAAAUGCGAAGAAUGGAUAAAAGAAGGGAAAAAAAGCGAAAUGGAGAAGUGGUUCAGGUAGGAAACAACAGUUUGUGAGUAAAAAUGGCAAGCUGAAAAUGAAGAAGAAUGUUAGUUACGAAAGCGGAGCGAACGAGAAAAAAAACACAUCCAGUUUUCUAUAAUAUUAUAUUUUUCCACAACAUAACACUCAAAAGGAGCUCAAUUAACUAACCUCCUGCUUUAUCAUUGCCUAUAUCUUAUUUCAGGGAUUUCUUGGUGGUGCUGCUCGGUAUUGAGCCAUUUUGAACGCAUGCACACACCGAGAGAGAGAGAGAGAGAGAGAGACAGUGAAUGUGGGAGAGACAAAGAAAGACAUCGAAACAGCGAACAGACGUCGUUCACCUUCCCUCGUUGUUUAUCUUAUUUGUUGGCAUUAGCUUUUUCUGCUAACGCAAGCAAAAGAAACGAAAAGUUGUGAAUUAAUAUUGGAGUAAAUCAUUUUGAAGAGAAACAUCGAGAAAAAUUUCUUCGCAUAGAUGAUGGUUCGGUUCCACCGACAACCGAAUAAAUGGCAAAUGAAGCUGCAGACGAGGGGAUAUAUCUAUGCAACGCACGAUACUAGCAAACUACUUGUAUCGAGAGAACAAAAG